Molecule: non-coding RNA, 142 nt
Organism: Gossypium arboreum
Lineage: Eukaryota; Viridiplantae; Streptophyta; Magnoliopsida; Malvales; Malvaceae
Source: Rfam
UUCUAAAAAUUUCACCCUUUUAUUCUGUUAAAAAUUGACGUGAUUGACGAAAUAACCAGACAAUUUCAUGUGGCAUACAUGUACCUUAUGCUAAAAUACAGAGACCGAUUUUUAACAAUAAAAAUGGAUGAAUCUUUUAAAC